UUUNUANUGGGGGAACCCUGAAGGAGCGACGCCGCGUGGAGGAUGAAGGCUUUCGGGUUGUAAACUCCUGUCAUUUGGGAACAAUGCUUACCGAGUAACUGCCGGUAAGUUGAUAGUACCAGAAGAGGAAGAGACGGCUAACUCUGUGCCAGCAGCCGCGGUAAUACAGAGGUCUCAAGCGUUGUUCGGAUUCAUUGGGCGUAAAGGGUGCGUAGGUGGCGCGCUAAGUCAGGUGUGAAAUUUCGGAGCUUAACUCCGAAACUGCAUUUGAUACUGGCGUGCUUGAGGACUGGAGAGGAGACUGGAAUUCAUGGUGUAGCAGUGAAAUGCGUAGAGAUCAUGAGGAAGACCAGUGGCGAAGGCGGGUCUCUGGACAGUUCCUGACACUGAGGCACGAAGGCCAGGGGAGCAAACGGGAUUAGAUACCCCGGUAGUCCUGGCAGUAAACGGUGCACGUUUGGUGUGGGAGGAUUCGACCCCUUCCGCGCCGGAGCUAACGCGUUAAACGUGCCGCCUGGGGAGUACGGUCGCAAGAUUAAAACUCAAAGAAAUUGACGGA
Molecule: ribosomal RNA, 559 nt
Filed under: uncultured bacterium
Lineage: Bacteria
Description: bacterial SSU rRNA
Rfam family: Bacterial small subunit ribosomal RNA
Source: RNAcentral